AAAAUACAUUAAAAAGAGAGGGAGGGAGGGAGGGAGGGAGGGAGGGAAAAUAUUCUUGUUGUCAACACCAGGAGUGCUAAGAUUCCCUGCAGUCAUCCCAGGCAGCCCCGGUGGCAGAGCUGACGAGGACACGCUGUGCCAAGAAGCCAUAUGCCUUUGGAGGAGAAAGGAUGGGGCCGGAAGGUCAACAGCAGCAGCAGCAGCACAGCCCACGUGAAGGAAUGUGGAAAAGAGAGCACAGACCUGUUCUGUUCAGGCUCUGGCUGAGAAUAAGUAUCGACAAGCCGCUAUAAAUGGAAACUGAAGAAGUGGGGCGAGAGAAGAAGACAGAAGAGUCAGGGCAAGAUAAAGGAAUAACUGUUUCCUUCCAGCUGCUCAAGCCACACGACACGCCCUGGUGUCGUUCCUGACUCCUCUCUCUCUCCUUCCUCACAUACAGUCCGUCAGCAAAGCUCACGGACUCCACUUUCAAAAUACAUCCAGAAUCCAACUAAUUGUCCACACACACGCAGGUACUGCUCGGAGUACCGGCCCUUAACUUGUUUAUUUUUGUCUUAACAUUAACCACCUAAUCUGUCCUGUAUUUACUUAAACAUAUGUUACUGACCCCCUCGCCUACCUCCAGUAGAAUUUAAGCUCCUUGAGAACAGGAGCGUUUUGUUCCCGUUGUUCAGUUAUUCCUAGCUCCUAAAACAAUGUUUAUACAUAGAAGGUAUUCACUUCAUAUUUGUUGAAUGAACAAAUGAAUGAAAAGCUUACCAAACAGGACUCAGAGAAUAGAAUAAGCAGCAACCAAAAAGAUAAGUAUUUUCCUUUGGUAAAGAAAUAGAAUUUGGGACAAUGAAUAAGGAAAAUAAGAAUUCCAAACACUUGAAAAUUUUUAAUAAGCAAACAAGGACUACAGAUACUAUCUAAGUAGUUCAGAAAUAAAGCUCCGACUUGGUUCUGGAAAGAUGUGAUAAUGAAGUAUCAAAUAUUCCAAUAAAGGUGGCAGAACAGUUCAGAGUUUGGACUAGAAAACACAGGCGUGAAGUAAAGUAUUGUAAGGGAAGACUCUGGUUAACCAUCUAUCAGUUUUUUGUUUGUUUCUUUCAUUUUUUUUAGAACAGAAAGAUUUUGGCUGUAAUCAGAGUCAAAGAUAAGCUAUGACUAUGGCUCAAUAAAUGAUCUGAAUGUCAUCCUAGAGUGAACGUUUCCAGUGCAGAAACAAGAGCAGAGUGGAAAAGGAGGUAGAAUGCAAGCAGGUAGUAAAAUGCACCCAUGAAAACUGUGUGAGAAUGUGCUCCAAUGAAAGGGAGACUGGAACAUUCGGUGGCAUAUGAAAGGCCUCAAGCAAAACAUUAAAAACAACUAAGCUGAUACCAUCCGUCCAAAGGCAUACCAGAAAGGAGCGGGCAUCGGAAAACAUGAUGGAGGUGAACAGCCGUAGAGGUCAAGGCUGACAGAGGAACCCGGGAAGGAGAGCAGAGGACGAACAUGGAAAUCAGAAACAGCAGAAAGGCGCAGGAAACAAGGAGGCCAGGACUGCUUCAGGGAAAAUGGCUUUUACGUCGGAGGAAGGGAAAGAGAGAACUCACAGCAAGCCGAGAGCAGAGGCAGGGGUCACUCACUACCAUUCCAAAAAGGGGGGACCUGCAGCCCGGGAGGAUGAAGCAACUGGCUCAAGGACACAGAAGCAGCGGCAGGUCCAGGAUUCCACCCGGAUCUGACAGCAGCACGAAGUCCACUGCCCAGCUGCGUUUCGAUGCCCUCCUGUGACUAAGGUUUUGCAGGGUAUUUUUGUGGCAUAUUAGGCAAUAGGUAAGUCAAGAGUUAUAAACAUGCCCCCCAAACACACACAAACACACCACACAAAAAACACCCUUUUAAUCUAAAAUAAAAUUCUUUAGAAUGAAAGGUGUUACCUUAUAUAUACAUACACUACAUGUAAGCCAAUUCACUACACAAAAUGUUUUCCUUUAAAGUUGAACUUGGUUCAGUCACAGCCUACUAUUCAGGCUACUCUUUCGGUCCACAUGUAUGUCUUCAAUUUUAAAGCACUAAAUAAAAAUCAUUGAAGUAU
Myotis brandtii (Brandt's bat) is the source of this 2062-nucleotide long non-coding RNA. RefSeq lists it as uncharacterized. The transcript has 2 exons. Lineage: Eukaryota; Metazoa; Chordata; Mammalia; Chiroptera; Vespertilionidae. The record is from RefSeq and is a predicted model, not a curated record.